RNAcentral lists this small nucleolar RNA (70 nucleotides) under Erinaceus europaeus (western European hedgehog). RNAcentral describes it as "Small nucleolar RNA SNORD70 (ENSEEUG00000023738.1)". The record is from RNAcentral. Lineage: Eukaryota; Metazoa; Chordata; Mammalia; Eulipotyphla; Erinaceidae.
AUCAGUAGAGGAUGACGCAAAGAAAUAUGAUCUAACUCAAAUUCGUCACUACCACUGAGACAACAUUGAG